This is an RNA transcript of Arabidopsis thaliana (thale cress), 1814 nucleotides long. RefSeq lists it as uncharacterized. Lineage: Eukaryota; Viridiplantae; Streptophyta; Magnoliopsida; Brassicales; Brassicaceae. The record is from RefSeq. The transcript has 2 exons.
AAUAAUCCGUCCAAGAAACCGGCGACACCCCUUUCUCCGCCGUCUUCUUAAGCACAUCCACCCAUAACGUCCCGGCCGCCACGUCAGCGUACUUCUUGUCUUUUGAAACCACCACGUCAGUGAUACACGUCAUGUUGACGAUUACUCCGCCGGAGACCGAGGCUUGGCCGUUUAAGGAGUGGCCUUGGCCACGAGCCGCUACUUGGAAUGUACUUUUUCCGUUUGCGGCGUAUUGGAGGAGACGAGAGAUAUCAGCGGUGGAGGAGGGGCAGAUUACGCCGCCGGGGGUCACGGUGGUUAUGUUUCCGAAGUCAUGAGAGGCUGCGGAGAUGAUGGAAGGAUCGGUAGAGAGGGUGAGGUUAAGGGAUUUAGGUAAAUCAAUUUUAAUACCGUUUGAUGAUUUGGUGAUCAUUAAAACCGUGAUUAAAGUGAUCAUUAAACGAAGAUUAGCCAUUUGUUUAUGUUUCUCUCUCUCUCUGAUUUGAUUUUUGAAGAAGAGAAUUACAACGAAAGAAUUAGAUAUCGCUAUAAUUUGUUACUUAUAUAGACACCGUAGGAAUGUAUGUAUAACAUAAAAUAUGGAAUCCUACCAAAAAAAAAAAGACAAUAAAUAUUGAAGUCAAAAUGAAAUCUCAAAUAAUUCCUAAAAAUGAAAAAAGGAAAUCUUACUGUUUUGUCAACUUGUUGAAUUAAUACUUCAAGGCACAUCCUCAUAUUUAGAUAUAUAAUAAAUCUUGUUGACUAUAGUUAGCCAUAUCUAUCCAUAAAUAUCUUUUUAGAAUUUGAAUUUAGUAUUAACCAACAAAAAAAUUUACAUUAAUUUUCUUGGAAUAAAAUCGAGUAAAGCUUUCACUAAGGUUUGUUGAGAAAAAUAUUAAAGAGUGAAACUGAAUUAAAAAAAACUUAUGUUUAUGUAUGUGCAUUUCCAUGAACCAGCAUGUCAUAACAUAAAAGCCUAGAGGGGAGGGUCGAGGGGAGAGUCGGGUAGUUCAAGGAGUUGAUUUGGUUGCAAAUGAUUCGGUGAAUAUGCCGUUGAAAGUAAACUGCCGAUUGGAGAGGCAUGCAUUACGUUCUUGCCAACUUGACUAAAGAUCAUAUACGUAGGUCGUGGUUUAUUUUUGCGGGAACCAAAACUUUUGGGAUUUUGAUUCAAAGACAUCAUAACAGAUAAGAUGAUCGAGAUGUAGUAAGACAAGGAAUGUUUUACAUGGAUGUAGGCGUGUUCUGACUCAUAUAUUGGUUGAGGAAUGCUCUGAGUGUUCAGAGAACCGUAUAGGACUUAAUCGCAGCGGGUGGAGCUGGAUGCGUCUUUAAGAUAACGAAUUAGUUUCUGGUUCUUGUGAUCAGUUGUGUUUAAUGUAUAUUCAUGGGUGAUAGAUUUAAUCACUCAUAAUCUUAUGUUACAAUCCUUUGUGCUAUUUUAGUUAUGUUCAUUAGAGUAUUUAUGAUAAGAACUCACUAGCUGCGAGGAGGAGAUGGAACUUGCCAGAGAACCACUCAGAUUCAAGAGGAGGACAACAAAGAUGAAUGGACAUGGGUUUGGUACUUAUUUGGAAGAAUACUCCUACUAGGUUACUGUUUGAGAUGAUGGAUAAGCUUCUGAAUGAGAGAAUGACGAAGAGGAGUGGAUGUGUCAUGUAAACCAAAUACUGAGCUACUAAGAACUGAUUUCAAGAAUUUGUUUAGAUUUUGAUUUGGAAUCAUAGCAAAACCAUAUGUGAUACGUUUUGGAUCAGAAAAAAAAAACGAUCCAAGGCAGCCAAUUGUUGCGGGCAGGCCCGUCUGCCAUCUUUAGAUAAUUAGAUGUAACUAAA